Vitis vinifera (wine grape) is the source of this 566-nucleotide long non-coding RNA. RefSeq lists it as uncharacterized. The transcript has 2 exons. NCBI's taxonomy places the organism in Eukaryota, Viridiplantae, Streptophyta, Magnoliopsida, Vitales, Vitaceae. The record is from RefSeq and is a predicted model, not a curated record.
UAGGUUGGAGGGUGGGGGAUAACACCUUUAUCCUCAGGGUAUGUUCAAGGGUAUUUUUGGAAUUUCAUUACCUGAGAGUUAGUAUAAAUACCUAUAAGGGUAAUUAGAGAUAUAGUGAAAGUUUUCUUCCCUGUUCCGUGGAUAUAGACAAUCUUCCUAACCACAUUAAAUCUAUGAGCUUUUCUUUUCGUUUGGAAUCGUUGCAUGAAAGUCAACACCUACAUUUCUCUUUCUUUCUAAGGAGAAAUGAAGCUUGAAGUGAAGAGAAGCCUUAUUCUUUGUUUUCUCACAAUCACCAUCCUAUUUCUUGGUGAGAAGAUGGAAUCAGUUAAUGCACAAAGCAGGGAAGGGGGAUAUGCACCCAGAUUGGUCACUGUGCGGCGGGUGGGAAGCCCAGACCGCAAGCCACCGAGCCCACCACCACCUCCUCCAACGGCGCCACCAGGACCAGGGAUGCUCACUUGACCUUUUUCUUGGAUCCCAAACUUUCUAUGAUGUAUCUCUAAGAAAAGAAUGAAAUAAGACCGACAAAAUAAAGAACAAAAGUAUUGAUAAUUUACGCCUUA